Molecule: small nucleolar RNA, 219 nt
Filed under: Gouania willdenowi (blunt-snouted clingfish)
Lineage: Eukaryota; Metazoa; Chordata; Actinopteri; Blenniiformes; Gobiesocidae
Description: Small nucleolar RNA U3 (ENSGWIG00000015473.1)
Rfam family: Small nucleolar RNA U3
About the family: Small nucleolar RNAs (snoRNAs) are involved in the processing and modification of rRNA in the nucleolus. There are two main classes of snoRNAs: the box C/D class, and the box H/ACA class. U3 snoRNA is a member of the box C/D class.
Source: RNAcentral
AAGACUAUACUUUCAGGGAUCAUUUCUUGAGUUCUUGACUCGAGACAUCUGUUUCAGAAGUGUCUGGUCUCGCUACCCACGACAAGUCGAUUAUACUCCUUUCUGAGCAGCUGAGAAGCGGGCAGAAAGAAAUGAUUCAGUUCAUAUUCUCUCUGCCCUUGAGGAUCGUUCUUGGUUCUUUUUAGGUACUUUGAGGUUGAUGAAGAGCUUUAAAGUAAU